AAAAUGUCUUUGGUCUUAGUAAUGCUCGUUAUUGAUUUGAACACGUGGGUGCGUGGCACGUUAUUUUAACUCCGGGACUGCGAUCACCGCAACAUCCAAGGAUGAAUCUCUUUGACUUCCUUCUCGUCUCAUCCGUCCUAGUGACAACUCUGUCGCUGGAUCUGAAGAUCAAUGAUCUUCCAGAAGAACCCCCGGAGGAGGUCCUUGUCACGGAGUGGGUGUACCUGGAUGUGAAGAUCGACAAUUACUACGACGAAAAGACGCCCUAUGAGGGACGAAUGAUCAUUGGGGUUUUCGGGGACAUAGCUCCAAUGACGGUCCUUAACUUCGUCACACUCGCAAAGGGUUACAGGAAGGGAAAAGUAUAGUCUUUUUUCUGUUUAACAGAAUGUGCACUCCAAAACAUCAGGCACGGCGGAGCAGAUGGGGGGGGGGGGGGGUAAAUCUUAUUGGUAGUAAAUCUUAAGGCAGAGAUGAAUUUUAUUUGUAGAAUGCAGGAAAUUGCAUUUCAGGACAUCUAGUUUUUAAAAUUUUACGAGAAAGUAUACCCCCGAAGCCCCUUAAAACUUUGCUUUGCGUCCUCGAUCUCAGCCAGCUCCCCCCCCCCCCCCCACCCCUCCUCCCAGUGUCUACUUGCUUCCGCUGUGCCUGCACAUUGUUUAAUCAGUGUUUCUAGGGUGUUGAAUAUAUCUUUCCAUCGGUUUUACUAUCAAAUUUUAAUAACUCCUCAAUACCUUUCAUAUAUUUUAUGUGUUUUGUGUCAAAUUCUAAUAAAGGUUUGUUUUGUUUAACGACACCUGUGGAGCACGCUGUUUACUUAUCAAUGUGUUCUAGUGUUGUCGUUAAACAAAACAAACUUACAAACUGUUUACAUAAUUAUCAGCUACGGGAUGUCAAAGCUUUUGUUACAUUCUGACAAGUAGUCUUUAAAGAACAAAACAUUU
This is a long non-coding RNA of Gigantopelta aegis, 944 nucleotides long. RefSeq lists it as uncharacterized. The record is from RefSeq and is a predicted model, not a curated record. The transcript has 2 exons. Lineage: Eukaryota; Metazoa; Mollusca; Gastropoda; Neomphalida; Peltospiridae.